This 401-nucleotide ribosomal RNA is filed under the name uncultured bacterium. RNAcentral describes it as "bacterial SSU rRNA". It matches the Rfam family "Bacterial small subunit ribosomal RNA", at positions 28 to 422 of the family's 1533-position model. The record is from RNAcentral.
GACGAACGCUGGCGGCGUGCCUAACACAUGCAAGUCGAACGAGAUCCAUGGGAGCUUGCUCCCGGAAGAUCUAGUGGCGAACGGGUGAGUAACACGUGAGAAACCUGCCCUGGAGUGGGGAAUAACUCGGGGAAACUCGAGCUAAUACCGCAUACCCUCGGAUGGUCGCAUGGCCGACCGAGGAAAGAUUUAUCGCUCUAGGAGGGUCUCGCGGCCUAUCAGCUAGUUGUGGGGUAACGGCCUACCAAGGCAACGACGGGUAGCUGGUUUGAGAGAACGAUCAGCCACACUGGGACUGAGACACGGCCCAGACUCCUACGGGAGGCAGCAGUGGGGAAUCUUGCGCAAUGGGCGAAAGGCCUGACGCAGCAACGCCGCGUGCGGGAUGACGGCCUUCGUGG